RNAcentral lists this non-coding RNA (76 nucleotides) under Bariatricus massiliensis. RNAcentral describes it as "Cyclic di-GMP-I riboswitch". It matches the Rfam family "c-di-GMP-I riboswitch aptamer". Rfam says of the family: GEMM was predicted in a large-scale screen for bacterial structured RNA regulatory elements. Lineage: Bacteria; Bacillati; Bacillota; Clostridia; Lachnospirales; Lachnospiraceae. The record is from RNAcentral.
GAAAAGGCAAAACUGUCGUGAGGCAGUGACGCAAAGCCACAGAUCCUGUGUGUUGAGCAGGAUGGCUGGGCCGCAG